GGAAUAUUCGAUGCUCCGAAAAUCAUUGAGCGUGUGCAGAAGGUGCGGAGAUGUUCACCGUGGCAUCACGUACCAAGGAGAAAAGCUGGAGAGAACUUGAGUGUCCAACAGUGAGGGUUCGUCACAUAAGGGAUGGGAGGGUCCCACAGGGGCCUACCUGCAGCUGUUAGAAAGGAUGACGUCACUGUAGCAAGAACCUCGGAGCUUCUCCCAGAUACACGUGGCGGGGGGCUGAGAGCCCUUGACAGCAUGGCGUGGGGUGUGCGCCUAUUUAAGGUUUAAAAGCACCACUCCUGCAAAGACAGUACAGUUACCUGUGGAGAGCAGAGAGCCGCCCGGAGGGACAGACAGCGGACCGUGAAGGGCCUGCUGGGAUGGGGGUGGGGGAACUGAGGCUGAAAGAGAAGAAAGGAUUUAGCCAAGGCCACCUCCUGAAUUAGGAGCCACGUGACCUAUCCUACUGCUUCUCAGCAAGAAGCCUGGCCCCAAAUCUCCUCCACUCCCCGCAGCUGCCGCCCCCCGCUGUUUCCAUUAGAGAGUCGUUCUUCCCUGUUUACCCUGUGAGUCCAGGAAGUCAACUCAGGGAGAGAAGGCGCUUGCCAAGGCCACCCAGCGAGGAGCAACUGAGAUAAGACGGAGCGCAGGUCAGGUGGCCCAGCCCACGCCCUCCCCUCCUGCAGGGAACAGCUCAGAGCAGAGCGGCCAGGCCAAGAGAGCAUCCCGAGAUGGUGUCAGAAGAAACCUCGUGGCAAGGACGUGCGCCUGAUACACAAAGCGGCUGCCCCCCGCCUCCGCCCCUGCUAGGACGCGGGUGUAUGAGAGUUGGGAUUUUUGUCUCCUGCUGUACGAAGUAGCCGAGAGAAGAGAAUCGGCACUGAUGAUCAGAUUUUUAGCUCGACAUACCCACAAAACCGGCUCUAAGAUGAAGACACACGUGGUUUCCAUCCCCAGAAGCUCCCCUGUGCUCCCUCUGGUCAGCACCCGCCCCCCGCCCAAGGGGACCCAUCCUCCCCUUCCUUGUUCCUGACUUUCCUGCACCUGGAGCCACGGCACCUGCUCCUUCCACGUGCCGGCUUUCUGCUCCCCAUGUGUGAGAGUCACCCGUGUGGGCAGCGAGGGGACCCGUGGGCUUUUAGCUUAAGCAACCACGUGGGCAGUGGUGCCACCUCCUGAGCUGGGAUGGCCAGCGGGGAGCAGGGAAUCCAGAGUUCUGCCCAGAGUUCAGGCUGAGAGUGUGGACGCGGGCCUGGGGCUGGAGACGGGAGUCAGGCAACAUCAGCCCAGGGACGACAUUAAAGCCAUGAGAGCAGGAAUUAUCCAGUCUCUUGCUGCCACAGAUUCAGGGCCACCUGCUCCAGGUCAGGCCUCCCACCUGCUCUCCACUGGGAGGCACCUAAAGGAC
Equus caballus (horse) is the source of this 1402-nucleotide long non-coding RNA. The record is from Ensembl. Lineage: Eukaryota; Metazoa; Chordata; Mammalia; Perissodactyla; Equidae.